GACGAACGCUGGCGGCGUGCUUAACACAUGCAAGUCGAGCGGUAAGGCCCUUUCGGGGGUACACGAGCGGCGAACGGGUGAGUAACACGUGGGUGACCUGCCCUCAGCUCUGGGAUAAGCCUGGGGAAAACCGGGUCUAAUACUGGAUAUGACUCCAUGACGCAUGUUGUGGGGUGGAAAGCCUUGUGCGGCUGAGGAUGGGCCCGCGGCCUAUCAGCUUGUUGGUGGGGUGAUGGCCUACCAAGGCGACGACGGGUAGCCGGCCUGAGAGGGCGACCGGCCACACUGGGACUGAGACACGGCCCAGACUCCUACGGGAGGCAGCAGUGGGGGAAUCUUGCGCAAUGGGCGAAAGCCUGACGCAGCGACGCCGCGUGAGGGAUGACGGCCU
RNAcentral lists this ribosomal RNA (391 nucleotides) under uncultured bacterium. Its description in RNAcentral is "bacterial SSU rRNA". It matches the Rfam family "Bacterial small subunit ribosomal RNA", at positions 28 to 417 of the family's 1533-position model. The record is from RNAcentral.